UAGCUCAAAUGGUAGAGCGCUCGCUUAG
Molecule: non-coding RNA, 28 nt
Filed under: Cricetulus griseus (Chinese hamster)
Lineage: Eukaryota; Metazoa; Chordata; Mammalia; Rodentia; Cricetidae
Source: RNAcentral